CAGCUUCAGCACAUCUCAGCUGCUGUCAAUAAACUUUCUUGUGUGUGCCAGCUUCCUAUAGCAAUGGAAGCAAACCAGAACUGCCCACUUCUUAUGACAUUUUCCAUCAAUUUUUUACAAAGCCUGAGCAUUUGAAUAGUGCUUCACUGUUUACAGAGCAAUUUCCCUUUCUCACAACCAUCCUCAUUUUACAGGUGAAGGAUCUAAAACCUGAAAAGAGGCCAAAUGAUUCCUCAAAACCACGCAAGUACGAAGUAGCAGAGCGGAUCUCAAAUCCAGAGCACUGCGUGUUUUGAAAUAUACAAAUAGUGGGAAACGAAAUCUUUGUUCUGGAUGCAGUUAUAAUUUGGAAAGCGAGGAAAUAAAUUAUAACAAGGGGAAAAAACAGACACAGAGGGAUUGAAAUGCAUAACAAUAGAGAUGAAACACGAAGAGUGAUAAAUGAAGAUUGAGUGUGCACACCUUCUGGAGGAGCCCUGAUUGAGUAUUUUAACACAGAAGUGGGUGAGAGCAAAGUUGUGUCAGAGUAAGACAAUGACACCAAGCCAGAUGGUUAUCAAAAUCCACAGGAACAAAUGAAGAGAACCAGAAAUUGCAAAUAAGAAGGACAGAGUACCAGAGAGGAGAGAGAGGUACAGAGAAUUAUGGAGGUGGCUUCCGUUGAGUAUGCAGCUAAGUAAUGAUUAAUGCAUACAUAUAAGAAACUACUGGAUGACAGAGAAAGAACCACAAGCAAUUUAAAGAAUACUACUAAAGUCAUGCCGUGUGACUUCUGAAGCUAGCUCCUAAGAAGUCCUUGCAGCUUCUGCCUGCGACUCUUAGAACACUUGCUUUGAAGGAUGCCAGAUGCUGUCUUAAAAGUCUGAGCACUCUGAAACCAUCAUGCUGUGAGGAAGCCCAAGCUAACCACAUGGGCAAAAAAGAUGCCCUCUGACUGCCACCAUUUGAGACACUCUAAUUAAGAACUGCCUCAUUGAGCCCAUGAGGCCCUGUGAAUGAUAAUAAUAAAUUGUUUUUAACCACUAUGUUUUUGGAUUUGUUAUAAGUUUAUAGAUAACAAGAAAAAGUUAUAUUAGCAUGGUAAUAAAAUUAUG
RNAcentral lists this long non-coding RNA (1094 nucleotides) under Homo sapiens (human). RNAcentral describes it as "non-protein coding LINC00964:9". The record is from RNAcentral. Lineage: Eukaryota; Metazoa; Chordata; Mammalia; Primates; Hominidae.